AUCAAUGUAGCUCAUCCAGGUAGAGCACUCGACCAAUAAUCGGGGUGUAGCAGGUUCGAGUCCUGCCAUUGUCA
This is a transfer RNA of Roseovarius indicus, 74 nucleotides long. It matches the Rfam family "tRNA". From Rfam's summary of the family: Transfer RNA (tRNA) molecules are approximately 80 nucleotides in length. Their secondary structure includes four short double-helical elements and three loops (D, anti-codon, and T loops). Further hydrogen bonds mediate the characteristic L-shaped molecular structure. tRNAs have two regions of fundamental functional importance: the anti-codon, which is responsible for specific mRNA codon recognition, and the 3' end, to which the tRNAs corresponding amino acid is attached (by aminoacyl-tRNA synthetases). tRNAs cope with the degeneracy of the genetic code in two manners: having more than one tRNA (with a specific anti-codon) for a particular amino acid; and 'wobble' base-pairing, i.e. permitting non-standard base-pairing at the 3rd anti-codon position. Lineage: Bacteria; Pseudomonadati; Pseudomonadota; Alphaproteobacteria; Rhodobacterales; Roseobacteraceae. The record is from Rfam.